AACGAACGCUGGCGGCAGGCUUAACACAUGCAAGUCGAGCGCCUCCUUCGGGGUGAGCGGCAGUCGGGUGAGUAACGCGUGGGAAUCUACCUUUUGCUACGGAAUAGCUCCGGGAAACUGGAAUUAAUACCGUAUGUGCUCUUAGGGGGAAAGAUUUAUCGGCAAGAGAUGAGCCCGCGUUGGUUUAGCUAGUUGGUGGGGUAAAGGCCUAACAAGGCGUGGAUCCGUAGCUGGUCUGAGAGGAUGGUCAGCCACAUUGGAAGUGAGACACGGCCCAAACACCUGGGGGAGGCAGCAGUGGGGAAUAUGGGAAGAUGGGCGCGAGCGUGAUCCAGGAAUACGGGGUGGGUGAAGAAGGCGUUAGGGUUGUAAAGCGAUGUAGGGGGGAAAGAAGAGCAGCAGUUUAAGAACCCGAGAUUCUGACGGUACCCAAAGAAUAAGCACCGGCUAACUUCGUG
RNAcentral lists this ribosomal RNA (458 nucleotides) under uncultured bacterium. RNAcentral describes it as "partial 16S ribosomal RNA". It matches the Rfam family "Bacterial small subunit ribosomal RNA", at positions 29 to 507 of the family's 1533-position model. The record is from RNAcentral.